UCAGCCCAAACACCCCUACAUAGCCCAGCUAGGCCAUCUAGCCCCCCUUGUGACCAGAGUCGUCUGAUCAUGAUCGGAGGGCUCAAAAAUUGUGGCAAACCCUCAAACCCUACCCCCUGCUAUAUAUAGCAGCUCCUCCUUGCCUAAAAUAGUCUUACCCUACCCCCCACCUAAAAAUCUGCAUCCCACCACUUGAGCCUCCGUAUUGCUGCCC
Molecule: long non-coding RNA, 214 nt
Filed under: Hordeum vulgare
Lineage: Eukaryota; Viridiplantae; Streptophyta; Magnoliopsida; Poales; Poaceae
Description: long non-coding RNA (HVUL_LNC010763)
Source: RNAcentral